This 3306-nucleotide long non-coding RNA is filed under the name Brachypodium distachyon (stiff brome). RNAcentral describes it as "long non-coding RNA (BDIS_LNC002579)". Lineage: Eukaryota; Viridiplantae; Streptophyta; Magnoliopsida; Poales; Poaceae. The record is from RNAcentral.
UUCGUUGCUUCUUGAUUCGGCCAGAGCAGAAGAAAGAACCACGCUCAAAUUUGUCUGAUUCGGCCAGAGUUUUCUCCCUGUGGGACUCAAGUCCUGAAGUCCAUAUUACAAAUCAAAACUAACCACAGAGCUUAAGUGUAAUGUUUGGUUGCAGAAUUUGGUGGAAUGGAAUGGAACCAUUCCACUCUAUUCAGAAUGGAAUAGUUUGUUGUUUGGUUGUGAAAUGGACAUUGUUGAAUGGAAUGGUUACAUUAAGUGUUUGGUUGAGGAGAUGAGAUGGAAAUGAAAUGCAAAUGAUGUGCUCACCUGUUGGUUAGGUUACCCCUCAGACUAAUGAGUAUGAGCAACAUUUCAUUACAUGAUUUCAACACUAAGAAAAAAUUGGACAAUUUAUAUACAUACAUCAAAACAUAAUAGCACAUAGUAAAUUUGAUCACCUCACUAUACUCAAUCAUCAAACAAGGAAAAACAGACAAAUUGAAACAAGAAAAGCUGAAAAUUCAUCCAUCUGCUUCUCCCUCUGUAGGCUGUAGCACCCCCUGUCGCCAGCCUCCUUUGCCAUGGCCCCUCCGCCGGCCUCCUCUGUCCUGCAGCCCCUUCGCGGCCUCCUCUGCCGGCCGCCGGCAUUCUCUCCCUUCCGUCGGUCGCCGGCUGGGAUCUCGUGGGGAGCGGCCAGAUUUUGUGAGGUGGGCGCCACCGCCAUGGAUCGAGAGACGAUGGGGAGACAGAGAGGAUCGGGGAGGGGGUGAGGAUAGAGGAGAGAGAGGAGGUCGGGAGUCGGGGCGUGAUCAAGUUUUUCACUAGGACCCACCGGUUCCAUGCGGAACAAACGCAUUCCUCCGUUUCCGAGUUAUCAGUUAGUUCCGCAUAUGAAAGGAAUAUUCCUCUUUGAGGAACCAACUAGUUCCAUUCUACUUCUCAAUAUUAUACAAACCAAACACACGAACCACACAAAAAUCUAGAACCGUUUCAUGACAUUACACCAUAUUCCACAAACCAAACACAACCUAAAUUACUCACAUAAAUUUUAAUGCCAUAAUGCGAAAUACGGCCACCAAAACUGAUAAACGAGUCUAAUGUGGAUUGGUCGCUACCUUAUGUCCUCUCGGUAUGGGUUCCUGUAAAAGAUUGGAGGAAUCUUUGGAGCAAGAAAGGAGGAAGAUGUCCCGUAGAACUGUAUUUGUAUUGCGCGAGCAGUUUAGUACAACAAGUUGUAAAAUGGAAGCAAGUAGUACAAUAACUUGAUUUGGGGUGGGGGGCGUGGUGGUGGGGGGAGGGGGCAUGUGGCUUGCCGGUUUACUUGGUCAUUUUUAUGGAAAGCCCUGCUCUCCGUUUCGUUUAUUCAAAAAAAAAAACUCCGAAUCAACUCCCCCGUUCCAGUGCAUGUUCUUAUCCUCCAUCUAUAGCACCAGAGAUCCAAGAAACCAAAACGAGAAACGGAAGAUCUUAAGCAUACGCUUGAGGCUGUCGUUGGUCUGCUGCUACUGUUGUUGCUGCAUAUGCUUGUGGUUGUCGUUGGUGCUCUUCUAUGCCAGCAGUCGUGCCUUGAACUCCUCAAUUUGUUGUUUCUAUUUAUUUUUUUCCAAUUUACGGUGGUUAGAAUUGUGAUGCCCUCAAGCACUGGAAGGGGGAUUUGAUUCAGAGUUUUUUUUUAAUAAGCGAAACGGCGUGGGGUACUGUACCGCCGACACCAUUUUGCAACUUGCUCUCUUAGACUUCUCGCGCAGUACAUGUUCUUGUGUACAUCCAGUGUUAUUGCUUCUAGAGGAAGCGAGCUGGCGAACGUGUUGAACUCCUUCGGCAAUUCUAGUGACUGUAUUUCAGGGCUCUUCACGGCCUCCCCCGGCAUACCGGACCACCGGACUUGUAGUUUUCUUUUUGUCUGUGUACAGUUUUUUCAGUUCUUUUUCUGUUCCCCCCUGGCGUUUAGGUUUUGUAAGACUUGGACAUUUUGGUCCCUCUUGUAAUGAAAAAUGACAGCACACUUAGACAUGGGUUCGGAAAAAAAGAAUACUCUUAUUUCCGCUUUGGAAUAUUAUCUGCGACUAACUAGUGCAAUUCCCUACUCCUGUAUCUCUUCUAUCCUGCGUUCCCAAGCCCUCAAAGAAGAAUCUAAAAUUUUAUGUAGAAUAUGCAAUUUUCCCCAACUGUCCGGAACACGUACUUUAGCGGUCAGAAAAAUCCGGCAACCUUAUUAGAUUCAAACAAAACAGCCACCAAUAUUCAAUGAGCAGAGUACUCGAAAUACAAAUCUUCGAUGAUAAGUGCACCUAAUAAUGGUAGACUUCUUGACCUUGACUAGCAACACUUACUUAGUUACUUGUCCUGCCCGAAGCACCGUUUGUGGAGCUGUCAUCACACAGAAUCUAGCUCAGGUCCUAGUUUUCUCUAGACGAAGAGUACACCACUACACCAGAGUACUAGACCACUUGCACUGUAGUUAACUGCUCCACGUACAUAGUUUAAUGACGCAAGGCAUCACGAUGACACUCGCAAGCAUUUGUGAACAAUUCAAAAGCUACAUGGCCUUACGUGCAAAACACCCAUGCUGGGGGGGAAGGCCCAAACAAAACGACCUAACACUUGUCGAGAUCCGAGCCAGGGUCAGCCCGGUCAGGGGUAGUCCGUGUCAAUAAACAUUCGCAGAGGCCGGACAGGGUUGACUUGCCACAACAGCCCCUUCCACAUGCAGCAGAUUGCAUAGAUCGCAAACUACCUCUAAAUAAUAACCAAGUACCAUGCCGUAAAGAUAAACACAACUUGCUUAUUAUCGUCUUUUCUUGCUCCAUCAACCGCGAGGAGACUGACGGUCGCGUGAUCGGCGAAUGGGAAAGGAAGAACAACACGGCAACGAACGUACCUGCUGCUGCUGCUGCUGCAGCAGCAUGUGGCCACCGCGUUUAGCGACAGACUGCAGCUCUGCAGUGGCUUCGCGACUUGCGAGAGGGGAAAGGGCAAAGCUAGCCGCGAGCGUUCCCACGCGCCGCGCUGCUUCUGCUUCCCUUCAUUUCUUAGCUACCAAGGCGAGAUUCUUCUUCCGUCAAUGCGUCUAUGCAUUGGUCUCAAAAGUCAGGUUACCUCUCCGGAUUUUAUUUUUAUUUUUUCUCUGCUCUCCACCACUCCCUCACAGUUGCCCUGAGCGUUCUCCAGUCUUCUGUGUCGUAAUGUGUGGUGCAUGCUGCUGUGCCAAUUAACCACCACGUCUCCUUUCCAUCGUCCUCAUGCUGGCGUAUGUGUCCACAGAGGGAAACUUCCCUGAAGGAACGGUGGGGACACCGGUGAGGUAAAGCCUGGCUGUGUUGACAG